GAUGAAGAACGUAGCGAAAUGCGAUACUUGGUGUGAAUUGCAGAAUCCCGUGAACCAUCGAGUCUUUGAACGCAAGUUGCGCCCGAAGCCAUUAGGCCGAGGGCACGCCUGCCUGGGCGUCACACGUCGUUGCCCCCCCAUCUACUCCUUCGGGAUUGCGGGGGCCGGAUGAUGGCCUCCCGUGCGCCUCGUCGCGCGGUUGGCCUAAAUGCCAAGUCCUCGGCGACGCACGCCACGACAAUCGGUGGUUGCGAAACCUCGGUUGCCUGUCGUGUGCGGUCGUCGCGCAUCGAGGGCUCGAAAAAAUUGCCGGGCUUCGGCUCGACUUUCAACGCGACCCCAGGUCAGGCGGGGUUACCCGCUGAAUUUAAGCAUAUCAAUAAGCGGAGGA
Molecule: unclassified non-coding RNA, 391 nt
Filed under: soil metagenome
Description: partial contains 5.8S ribosomal RNA, internal transcribed spacer 2, and large subunit ribosomal RNA
Rfam family: 5.8S ribosomal RNA (bases 1-122)
Source: RNAcentral